UCUUUUCCUUGUGUGCCAGCAGCCGCGGUAAUACGUAGGUGGCGAGCGUUGUCCGGAAUUAUUGGGCGUAAAGAGCCUGUAGGCGGUUUUUUAAGUCUGGAGUGAAAAUGCGGGGCUCAACCCCGUAUGGCUCUGGAUACUGGAAGACUUGAGUGCAGGAGAGGAAAGGGGAAUUCCCAGUGUAGCGGUGAAAUGCGUAGAUAUUGGGAGGAACACCAGUGGCGAAGGCGCCUUUCUGGACUGUGUCUGACGCUGAGAUGCGAAAGCCAGGGUAGCGAACGGG
This 283-nucleotide ribosomal RNA is filed under the name Phascolarctobacterium succinatutens YIT 12067. Its description in RNAcentral is "partial 16S ribosomal RNA". It matches the Rfam family "Bacterial small subunit ribosomal RNA", at positions 493 to 776 of the family's 1533-position model. The record is from RNAcentral. Lineage: Bacteria; Bacillati; Bacillota; Negativicutes; Acidaminococcales; Acidaminococcaceae.